CACGCAGGCGGUUUUUAAGUCAGAUGUGAAAGGUACCGGCUCAACCGGUGACAUGCAUUUGAAACUGAAAGACUUGAGUAUUGGAGAGGCAAGUGGAAUUCCUAGUGUAGCGGUGAAAUGCGUAGAUAUUAGGAGGAACACCGGUGGCGAAGGCGGCUUGCUGGACAAAUACUGACGCUGAGGUGCGAAAGCGUGGGGAGCAAACA
This 206-nucleotide ribosomal RNA is filed under the name uncultured Acetobacterium sp. RNAcentral's name for it is "partial 16S ribosomal RNA". It matches the Rfam family "Bacterial small subunit ribosomal RNA", at positions 568 to 774 of the family's 1533-position model. The record is from RNAcentral. Lineage: Bacteria; Bacillati; Bacillota; Clostridia; Eubacteriales; Eubacteriaceae.